CCUACGGGGGGCUGCAGUAAGGAAUAUUGGUCAAUGGAGGGAACUCUGAACCAGCCAUGCCGCGUGCAGGAUGAAAGCCCUCUGGGUUGUAAACUGCUUUUAACAGGGAAGAAAAUGCUAUACGCGAUAUAGUACUGACGGUACCUGAGGAAUAAGCACCGGCUAACUCCGUGCCAGCAGCCGCGGUAAUACGGAGGGUGCAAGCGUUAUCCGGAAUCACUGGGUUUAAAGGGUGCGUAGGCGGUUUUAUAAGUCAGUGGUAAAAGGUUGUAGCUCAACUAUAAGAGGUCCAUUGAUACUGUAAGACUUGAAUCGAGUUGAGGUUGGCGGAAUGAGACAUGUAGCGGUGAAAUGCUUAGAUAUGUCAUAGAACACCAAUUGCGAAGGCAGCUGACUAGACUUAGAUUGACGCUGAGGCACGAAAGUGUGGGUAGCGAACAGGAUUAGAUACCCCUGUAGUC
This 461-nucleotide ribosomal RNA is filed under the name uncultured Bacteroidota bacterium. Its description in RNAcentral is "bacterial SSU rRNA". It matches the Rfam family "Bacterial small subunit ribosomal RNA", at positions 338 to 795 of the family's 1533-position model. The record is from RNAcentral. Lineage: Bacteria; Pseudomonadati; Bacteroidota.